RNAcentral lists this ribosomal RNA (415 nucleotides) under uncultured bacterium. RNAcentral describes it as "bacterial SSU rRNA". It matches the Rfam family "Bacterial small subunit ribosomal RNA", at positions 355 to 786 of the family's 1533-position model. The record is from RNAcentral.
UCGGGAAUAUUGCGCAAUGGAGGAAACUCUGACGCAGUGACGCCGCGUAUAGGAAGAAGUUUUUCGGAAUGUAAACUAUUGUCGUUAGGGAAGAGAAAGGACAGUACCUAAGGAGGAAGCUCCGGCUAACUACGUGCCAGCAGCCGCGGUAAUACGUAGGGAGCGAGCGUUAUCCGGAAUUAUUGGGUGUAAAGGGUGCGUAGACGGGAGAGCAAGUUAGUUGUGAAAUCCCUCGGCUUAACUGAGGAACUGCAACUAAAACUACUUUUCUUGAGUGCAGGAGAGGUAAGUGGAAUUCCUAGUGUAGCGGUGAAAUGCGUAGAUAUUAGGAGGAACACCAGUGGCGAAGGCGACUUACUGGACUGUAACUGACGUUGAGGCACGAAAGUGUGGGGAGCAAACAGGAUUAGAUACC